This 228-nucleotide non-coding RNA is filed under the name Clostridium sp. RNAcentral's name for it is "T-box sequence". It matches the Rfam family "T-box leader". From Rfam's summary of the family: Uncharged tRNA acts as the effector for transcription antitermination of genes in the T-box leader family. T-boxes are found upstream of many aminoacyl-tRNA synthetase genes and some amino acid biosynthetic genes usually in Gram-positive bacteria. The anticodon of a specific tRNA base pairs to a specifier sequence within the T-box motif, and the NCCA acceptor tail of the tRNA base pairs to a conserved bulge in the T-box antiterminator hairpin. Lineage: Bacteria; Bacillati; Bacillota; Clostridia; Eubacteriales; Clostridiaceae. The record is from RNAcentral.
AAAAAAGCAAAGAAAAAGAGGAGUAUCUAUUUUCCAGCUUUCAGAGAGAAAAACAAAUGCUGUAAGUUUUUCAGUGUGGAAAUAGAGAAGGUAGCUUUGGAGCUUUUUUGCUGAAGCAAUAUUUGUGUGUAAGCAAAAACGGUUUGUCACGUUAUAGACUUUUGAGUGUCUGUUUUUGUUUUUUUUAAAACAGAAAAAAAGGUGGUACCACGAGCUUUCGUCCUUUAU